UACGUAGGUGGCAAGCGUUGUCCGGAAUUAUUGGGCGUAAAGCGCGCGCAGGCGGUUCCUUAAGUCUGAUGUGAAAGCCCACGGCUCAACCGUGGAGGGUCAUUGGAAACUGGGGAACUUGAGUGCAGGAGAGAAGAGUGGAAUUCCACGUGUAGCGGUAAAAUGCGUAGAGAUGUGGAGGAACACCAGUGGCGAAGGCGACUCUUUGGCCUGUAACUGACGCUGAGGCGCGAAAGCGUGGGGAGCAAACAGG
RNAcentral lists this ribosomal RNA (253 nucleotides) under uncultured bacterium. RNAcentral describes it as "partial 16S ribosomal RNA". It matches the Rfam family "Bacterial small subunit ribosomal RNA", at positions 524 to 776 of the family's 1533-position model. The record is from RNAcentral.